Molecule: long non-coding RNA, 685 nt
Filed under: Homo sapiens (human)
Lineage: Eukaryota; Metazoa; Chordata; Mammalia; Primates; Hominidae
Description: HSALNT0362793
Source: RNAcentral
ACAGUAUCAUCGAGCUACGCCGGCAAGAAGGUAGCCGCCGGCUGACUGAAGCGGCUUCCUGAUACAACCACCUGAGUGCUGAGAACGCGCGCAACGUGGCCACCCUCCUGUGUCAAUUCAGAUUUAGAGCCACCGUGAAGAAGUCUGGCAGCUCUGCAUUCCUCAUUAGUGACCUUUAUCUCCUUUUAGGCCCCUUCUCAGACAUGGGUUCCUCCCUACACUGAAGUUUGUAUACCCCCUUCUUCCCGUAAGAACAAAAGCUUCACAUAUAACUCCGUACUUUGUUGCACCACCACCAGGCUGCAACCACCACCACUCUACGCACACGCUCAUCCUCCCCGACUCUCCAGGCUCAGGUUUCCACUCCCCCGGCUGCGGGAAGGACAGUCAAUCCUGAUUUCAUUAUCGAAAGCCUUGGAAGACCCUUGACUCAUAGACUCUCAGGUGGCCCAUCCGGGCAGAGGCGGGUGAAAACCAAUGCUCGUCCAGCCGGGAACAGAACAGGAUGUACCUCGAGACUUGCUUCCCGGCUGGCCAGGAAGGCCCUGCCCAGUCUGACCAGAGCAGUAAACACCACCAAUAAAAGUGGGAGCAACACACCAAGGCUACAAAGAAAGCAUGAGGACAUGGUUUCCAAAGUCAGUUCCCUUUAUUAAAUCAUUUUCACAGACCAGAAAUACAAAAU